UACGGAGGGUGCAAGCGUUAAUCGGAAUUACUGGGCGUAAAGCGCACGCAGGUGGCUGAGAAAGUCGAUUGUGAAAGCCCUGGGCUUAACCUGGGAAUUGCAGUCGAAACUACUCGGCUAGAGUAUGGGAGAGGACAGUGGAAUUCCCGGUGUAGCGGUGAAAUGCGUAGAGAUCCGGAGGAACACCAGCGGCGAAGGCGGCAUCCUGGACUGGUCCUGACACUCAGGAGCGAAAGCGUGGGGAGCGAUCCGG
This 253-nucleotide ribosomal RNA is filed under the name uncultured bacterium. RNAcentral's name for it is "partial 16S ribosomal RNA". It matches the Rfam family "Bacterial small subunit ribosomal RNA", at positions 524 to 776 of the family's 1533-position model. The record is from RNAcentral.